GGCCAGGAUUUGAAGCACAGCAUAUUCUGACACUUGUGAAAAAAAGAAAACAAGGCCAGUGCAUUUGCCAGGGCAUCCAAGCAGUUCCCAGCAACCCCGUGUGAGCUUUGCAGACUGACCCAGCAUGCAAGUGCCUGAUGCAAAGCAAAGAGCAAUUCCUGAGCUGCAUUCAGAGACAGAGACAGAGUUGCCAGGCCCAGAAUUCCGGCAAUUACUCAGUGGAAAUGGAAACAGCACCACAGAUGCCAAAGGCUGCGAAAUGAGAACACUGGCCACCUUUGUGCUUCUCCCGGAGACGCCUUGAUGAGCCGGGAGCCCCGCAAUUAGAGCUGCCGUGUUAAUGAGCCCCGAGCGCGGGGGUGAGGGGCGCCGGCCGAGCCGCCAGGGGGCGCUGCCGCCCGCGGCACGGCCCGGCCGUGAGGGAGCCGCCAUGGAGCCGGGAAUGGCCUGGGGCCGCAGGG
Passer domesticus (house sparrow) is the source of this 461-nucleotide long non-coding RNA. RefSeq lists it as uncharacterized. The record is from RefSeq and is a predicted model, not a curated record. The transcript has 3 exons. Lineage: Eukaryota; Metazoa; Chordata; Aves; Passeriformes; Passeridae.